CACGUAGUUAGCCGUGACUUUCUGGUUGAUUACCGUCAAAUAAAGGCCAGUUACUACCUCUAUCCUUCUUCACCAACAACAGAGCUUUACGAUCCGAAAACCUUCUUCACUCACGCGACGUUGCUCCAUCAGACUUGCGUCCAUUGUGGAAGAUUCCCUACUGCUGCCUCCCGUAGGAGUUUGGGCCGUGUCUCAGUCCCAAUGUGGCCGGUCAGUCUCUCAACUCGGCUAUGCAUCGUCGCCUUGGUAAGCCGUUACCUUACCAACUAGCUAAUGCACCGCGGGGCCAUCCCUUAGCGACAGCUUACGCCGCCUUUCAAAAGCUGAUCAUGCGAUCUGCUUUAUUAUCCGGUAUUAGCACCUGUUUCCAAAUGGUAUCCCAGACUUAGGGGCAGGUUCCCCACGUGUUACUCACCCAUCCGCCGCUCGCUUUCCCAACGUCAUUACCGAAGUAAAUCUGUUGGUUCCGCUCGCUCGACUUGCAUGUAUUAGGCACGCCGCCAGCGUUCGUCC
RNAcentral lists this ribosomal RNA (513 nucleotides) under uncultured Lactobacillus sp. Its description in RNAcentral is "partial 16S ribosomal RNA". The record is from RNAcentral. Lineage: Bacteria; Bacillati; Bacillota; Bacilli; Lactobacillales; Lactobacillaceae.